CCCUGAGAACGUGACCUGAGCCAAAGGCAGAUGCUUAACUGACUGAGACGCCCAGGGGUGCUGGGGCCUAGACCUUCCCUGGCCCCUGAUGGCCAGGUGGAGUCCUCAGAACUGGAAGCCUGAAUCAAAGAGUCCUCCCUCCCUGAAGCUGGAGGAGGAGGAGCCAAAAAUUCCACAGGAGGACUGGGGUUCACAUUCGUGAGGAGACACCUAGGAAGGAACAUGGGACCGACGUCCUGAACUAGGAAGAGGAGAGAAAAGUUUGAGCAGAUGAGGAUCAAGCUGGGGAAGUGGGGGUGGAGGAAGUGGCCAUGAGUCCAGAAAAUGCAGGCGGCCUCUAGAAGCUGCAAAGGGCAAGGAAGUUGAUUCUCUAGAGUCUCCUGAAGGAAGAAGCCCUGCCAACACCUUGAGUUUAAUCCAGUGACACCCAUGUCUGACUCUGGACCUCUAGAACUGGGAGAUAGCAGAUGUGUGUGAUUGUAAACCAUUACGUUUGUGAUGUUCUGUCCCAGCAGCCAUCGGAGCCUCCCGUCCAGCCUUUCAGAUACAUACUGCCUGGAAUGAACGUGUCCAGGGUCUGGCUCACAAAACUACACUUCUCAGGAUUGGCCUGGAGGUGGCGUCCCUGCUGUUGGUCUGGAACCACCGGACCCGACUCAGCUGAGAAAACUAAGGCUCAGAGAGGGAACAAAUGAGGCAGAAACUGUUCUGAAAUUUCUCCUGGGCCCUGUCAAGAUCAACAGCCUGGCCAUGGAGUACCAGUGACCACGUGACCCAUGUGGCUUAUUAACUGAGUAUCUGUCCCACUUGGCCAUAAAGUGCCCGGUAGUGCCCUGUUCCUCAAGAGGACAUGGACCAUAUAAGAGCAGGCCUGAGCACUGCUCGGAGAAGACACAACCAUGUGACUCCAAAUUUUAUUCAUGAGAGAGAGAGAGAGAGUGCACAAGCAGGUGGAGAGGCAGAGGGAGAACGAGAAGCAGACUCCUCGCUAAGGCUAACGCAGGACUCGAUCCCAGGAACUGGAGAUUGCAACCUGAGCCGAAGGCAGACUCCCAACCGUCUGAGCCACCCAGGCUCCUGAAUUUGGAUUUGCUUUUCCCACCAGUGAUGCUUUUACCAUCACCAUCCUCCUACAUGGGUUUAAUGAAGACCUUAUUUGCCACCACAGUAUCUUCUUUUUUUUCUUAAGAUUCUGUUUAUUUAUUUGAGAGAGAAAGAGAGGAUGAGCGUGGGGAGGGGCAGAGGCAGGAGACACAGACUCCAUGCUGAGCACAGAGCCUGACAUGGGACUUAAUCUCAGGACCCCGAGAUCAUAACCUGAGCCCAAGUCAGACGCUUACCGACUGAGCCAUCCAGGCGCCCCUCGCCAUCACAGUGUCUUAUACAUACAUCAUGGCACCUGUGCUGGUCAGUUUGGGCUGUUAGAACAAAUUGCCAUAGCCUGGGCGGCUUUUAAACAACAGAAAUUUAUUUCUCAGAGUUCUGGAACGUGGAAGUCUGAGAUCAGGAUGCCAGCGUGUUAGGUUCUGGUGAGAGACCUCUUCUGGGUUGGAGACUUUUUGACUUCUCAAUAUGUCCUCACAUGGUGGGGAGCAGAAACGGGAAGGAAGCUCUCUCAUGACUUUAUAAGGGCACUAAUCCUACUCCUGAGAGCUUCACCCUCAUGACCUCAUCUAAUCCUAAUUACCUAAGGCUCCAUUUCCUGAUAUCACAUUGGGAGGUAAGGUUUCAACAUAUGAAUUUUGUGGGUAUGCAAACAUUGGGUCCGUAACAGCAUCUGACUAAGGAACUAACUUUACAGUGAAAGGAGUGAAGAAACUGGCUAUCCUAUUAGAUUCACUAGCCCUACCGUGGACCCCAACAACUGGAAGCAGCUGGCUUUGUAGUGGAAUGGCCCGUGGAAGACAGCUACUGAAGCAGCUGGAAAACAACAGCUAAAGAGCUUGGAUUCCACUUAUACUUGGACCCAGCAUUUCUGGAGCUGACCUUGACCCCUGUGAGUUGAAUACCUGAUUUGGUCUGGCGGUGCCUGACAUUUCAUCAUCAUAAUUCCUUCGCUGGGCUGAACUGAGACCUGGUGACUUGUCAGGUAAAGAAAUUAAAAUUAUUUCCCCAUAAGAUAACACAAACACACAACAUUUCGAAGUAGAUUUUAGAAAGUCAUCCUACUGCUUCUGAGAAACUGGGAAAGUUCUUGCCGAGGUGGUAGAGUUUCUAGUGGGACACUGAGAAAGGUGGAGGAGGACUGGAAUGCAGGUGCGUUCUGGGUUUUCUCUGAGGCUUUUCGGAUGGGCAUUUUAUCCAAUGAGCUCAGAGUGACUUUCCCUCGGGGUCUGGCAGCCCAGGGUGUGGUUCCUGGCACAGCCCCUGAGCAGUUGUCAUUGGGAUAAAUUUUAGGACUCUCUAGAACCAAGCCUUCAGAGUUUCACAUUUCUGGGAGAUCGUCUCCCCGGCCCCAGUUAAUUUCCCUCCCGCGCUGGUGCAGGCGGUCCCCCUGCGCGACAUCCUCCGACUCUUUCAGCAUCAGUUUCCCCCAAGGGGGUGGGCGGGGGACCAGUAUGGGGCUGCUCCUGACCUCCUCUUGGAACCGGGGAAGAGGAGACGCGGGGGGCAGGACCUGCCGAGUCCGGGAUCAGCGGAAGCUCCGCGGAAGCGGCUGUCUCCGAAGGCUUGUGGCCCGCGGGAGCAGAGCGCCCCUCUCCCCCGCGCCGCCUGCGUCC
This is a long non-coding RNA of Ailuropoda melanoleuca (giant panda), 2720 nucleotides long. RefSeq lists it as uncharacterized. The record is from RefSeq and is a predicted model, not a curated record. The transcript has 8 exons. Lineage: Eukaryota; Metazoa; Chordata; Mammalia; Carnivora; Ursidae.